AGGUGCACGCUCUAGCGGGGAUUCCAAUAUUGGGCCAAUUCCCCCAAUAUUGGAAUCCCCGCUAGAGCGUGCACUU
Gorilla gorilla gorilla (western lowland gorilla) is the source of this 76-nucleotide microRNA precursor. Lineage: Eukaryota; Metazoa; Chordata; Mammalia; Primates; Hominidae. The record is from Ensembl.